AGCCUUUUAUUUUAAUUUGGCUUUUUGUGUCUUAUCGGUCAGUGGUUUGUUGGAAUUCCCCUGCCGCCCCGAAAAUAAGUUCCAAGGGCCAGAUUUUAUUAUCUAAACGUUCCUGAUGCGAAGUCUGUGCCUACCAUGUUUUGAGAACAAGUUAAAAAAGGGGGGUUAUUUUGUGCGAGUCUGCAUCAAACCAAGGCUCCUAGGGGGAAAGCCGUACACUUCUCAUAACCAAAGCCACCUCUGCUACUCUUGCAGCCAGCACCCCCGUAAAGCAGCAGACGCUGGGAGCAUUUAAUCACACGAGUAGCGAAAGUCUGCUCACCUGAGCAAGAAACGCCAACGAACCUCCUCGGGUGAGCCAAGUGAACGAUUGCAGAGAUGGGCCCCUGAAGCGUUCAGAACAUGAAUUCUCACCCCCCCCGUCCAGAACCCUCCCAACAGCUGCUAGCAAGCUCUGUUCUAUUAAUCCUCUAUCCAAUUAGCGUUUUUCGGUCAAAAGCUACCUCGUUAGAAUUGUUUUAACGUGGGUUGCGACUUCUAUUUUAGGUAGGAAGAGGGACAGGUAGCGCCCCCCUUCCCCCCAGUAAAUAAGACUCAGUCUCGCACUUUGUCCUGUUUUAAUAGGCUAAUUUUAGCUAGUUUGCUAACAGGUGUGAAGGACCAGGGGUCUAGAGAGAGGCGGUUGGCUGGUGCAGCUUAGAAACAGUUAGUGCUUUCCUAGUUUGGCAAGACGCUGAAAAAACCAGGGACGUUUCCAACUGCUACCCAGCUUGGAAAUGUCUGGUACCUACUGCUGGCAAAACUAGCUGAGGAACAGACGAGUAAAGAAAUAUGCCCCAGCUGCAAUGCACAAUGAGUUUUUAGGGCCAAAGAUGAAUAAGAUCAGGCAGAGUGAUGAGUGAUUUUGAAUGUCUGUCCCUGGAAGAAUGACUUACCCUCCACCUUCUCUGCUCCUUUAACUCCGUGAUGAUGAGCAAUGAAAGAUCCACGCUAGCUUUGUGUAUCUAACACUUUAUCUAACGAGUGAUGACAGUCCGGGUGUUUCAGGAUCUCGGAAUAAAUUGCUGGAGCCUUCCAAAAACAUACCGAGAUUCUUCUAACACUUCAGACAUGAUAGGGCGGGGUGGUUGUUUGUUUGUUUGAAAACAAUUAAAUCUUAAUGUGUGUAACAAUCCCUUGCGCUGUUUUAACCUGCGAUUCAAAAGCAUAAUGAAGAAUAACUUUCCCUGGACUGAAUAAUUCGACAAAGAUCAGAUCAUGUACACGGUGUAGCGGCAGGAUACGUUAGGUACUUAACUAGAUUUGUCAUUUCAAAGAGCUAGUCUGUGUGUUUUCGGAAUGAGGUUUGGCUUGAUAGGCAAGCAACGGAGCAGCAGCGAAAUGGAGUUGUGUGUCUGUAAUACAAAAUGUCAACAAAACCACAUCAUGUGAAAGCAGGGAUUUGUUCCAUUUUCCAUGCCUCUUAAUUGUUACAAAAAUGUCCUGGAAACUCUUUUAAAGAGGCCCCUACCUUCUAGGAAUACCGAGCCUUUCUAUCUAUAACUUAAGUAUCACUGAAUCAAAUGUAUUUUGAAGCCUAAAUAAAAUUCCCACAGGGAAGUUCAUUAAUA
Molecule: long non-coding RNA, 1610 nt
Organism: Dermochelys coriacea (leatherback sea turtle)
Lineage: Eukaryota; Metazoa; Chordata; Testudines; Dermochelyidae
Exons: 3
Source: RefSeq, a predicted model, not a curated record